Amphiprion ocellaris (clown anemonefish) is the source of this 1240-nucleotide long non-coding RNA. The record is from Ensembl. Lineage: Eukaryota; Metazoa; Chordata; Actinopteri; Pomacentridae.
UUUUAAAGUGUUUAAUCUAUAAAAACUUGGGACUCAGGUUUAGCAUUACAUCAGGUUCUUACAGCAAACUGGAACAUUCAGAAACAAGAUGGUCACCUCGAAAUGCCUGAAGGCUAAAGCUAAUGGUUUUAGCAAAGCUGUCUACAGGAAACCUUCAUUUAUUACAGCUCUUGAAUAUUCUCACGAUAAAGUGACGAAGACUGACAGAAACUGGUUCUGAAAAUCAUUUAUUAAAUCUUGUACAGUUAGAAGCAGCAGAAGAACUUCUGGAACAUGAGACCUGCAACACAAAGAGUUAGUCAGCUGGCAGCAGAUCCACAGAGCAGAUCCUGAGAGCUCAGAGACCCACCUCCAACAUGUUCAGUAGGCUUUAACUGGAACUUGAUCACCCUUUGGAGGCAGGUAGCCUUUCGGAGGCAGGCGUCUACAGCUACCAGAGCACUGACCAGACCUCUGACCAGACCCCUGAUGGGCCCUUCUUCACUGAUGUGUCCGAUCUGGAUCCAGUCUACAACUUCCACUCUCGGUCCCGCUACAGGAGAGGAAGAGCCCAUUUCUCUCAGACCCGCUACGUCCCCACUGACUCUCUGUACAGUCCAGUGUUCAGCUACCCAGGCUACCUGCCUCCACAGGGCUACCUUCCUCCAAAGGGUGACCAAGUUCAAGUCAAAGCCUACUGAACAUGUUGGAGGUGGGGCUCUGAGCUCAUGAAUUGUUCUAUGGAUUUGCUGCCACCUGACUGUUGCAGGUCUCCAUGUUCUAGAAGUUCUACUGCUGCUUCUAACUGUACAAGAUUUAAUAAAUGAUUUUCAGAACUAGCCUUUGUCUCAGUCUUCAUCACUUGAUCCUGAACAUGUCUGACAGCUGUGCUAAAUGAAGGCUUCUUACAGGCAGCAUUGCAUGACUAUUAGCUUUAGUCUUCAAGCAUUUAAAAGCUGCAUCUUGUCUCUGAAGGUCCCGGUAGUGAUUUAGGGAGAAGAACUGGAUCUAAACAUCUCUGUUGGGCCUGCUUCACAUUACAGCCUGCGUGUUUGAGAUUAUUUCUGCUGCUUUUUUUUUUUUUUUUUUUUUUAAAAACCUGAGGUCAAAGUUUUUCCCCAGCUUGUAUGCUUUGAAACCUGUUUGCUUAUGUAAUGUACUUCGAACAUGCCAUCAGCACUUGGUAAGGUGAAGGCCAUUCCAAAUUUGACUGGAAAGAACCCAAACUUCACUGACGCAGCCAUCUGCCUCAACUGUUAUG